Molecule: long non-coding RNA, 242 nt
Organism: Alosa sapidissima (American shad)
Lineage: Eukaryota; Metazoa; Chordata; Actinopteri; Clupeiformes; Clupeidae
Exons: 3
Source: RefSeq, a predicted model, not a curated record
AAUCAGUAGAGUGUCCACAACAAAUCGCGGGGUAAAACCCACUCACAAGACAACGGCACAAUUACUUUCCUUCACGUGAAGAAUUGGGUGCGUUGGAUAAUCCUUUCGCGGCUCUCACUGUGUCCGAGCGGAUGUUUGGCCAAUUCGCCGUUGUAGCUGGGAAGUCAGAGGCGGUAAUUCCAACGUCUCGGCUCUCGUGGGUUGCGGUGCGUGAAGUAUCCGGACGCCUUAAUCCGAAGUGG